GAUGAAGAACGCAGCGAAAUGCGAUAAGUAAUGUGAAUUGCAGAAUUCAGUGAAUCAUCGAAUCUUUGAACGCACAUUGCGCCCGCCAGUAUUCUGGCGGGCAUGCCUGUUCGAGCGUCAUUUCAACCAUCAAGCCCCCGGCUUGUGUUGGGGACCUGCGGCUGCCGCAGGCCCUGAAAAGCAGUGGCGGGCUCGCUGUCACACCGAGUGUAGUAGCAUACAUCUCGCUCUGGGCGUGCUGCGGGUUCCGGCCGUUAAACCACCUUCAUAACCCAAGGUUGACCUCGGAUCAGGUAGGAAGACCCGCUGAACUUAAGCAUAUCAAUAAGCGGAGGA
Molecule: unclassified non-coding RNA, 336 nt
Filed under: soil metagenome
Description: partial contains 5.8S ribosomal RNA, internal transcribed spacer 2, and large subunit ribosomal RNA
Rfam family: 5.8S ribosomal RNA (bases 1-120)
Source: RNAcentral